CCUACGGGAGGCUGCAGUGGGGAAUAUUGGACAAUGGGGGCAACCCUGAUCCAGCCAUGCCGCGUGUGUGAAGAAGGCCCUCGGGUUGUAAAGCACUUUCAGUGAGGAAGAACGCCUGGUGGUUAAUACCCAUCAGGAAAGACAUCACUCACAGAAGAAGCACCGGCUAACUCCGUGCCAGCAGCCGCGGUAAUACGGAGGGUGCGAGCGUUAAUCGGAAUUACUGGGCGUAAAGCGCGCGUAGGUGGCUUGAUAAGCCGGUUGUGAAAGCCCCGGGCUCAACCUGGGAACGGCAUCCGGAACUGUCAAGCUAGAGUGCAGGAGAGGAAGGUAGAAUUCCCGGUGUAGCGGUGAAAUGCGUAGAGAUCGGGAGGAAUACCAGUGGCGAAGGCGGCCUUCUGGACUGACACUGACACUGAGGUGCGAAAGCGUGGGUAGCAAACAGGAUUAAUACCCCUGUAGUC
This 464-nucleotide ribosomal RNA is filed under the name Vreelandella stevensii. RNAcentral describes it as "partial 16S ribosomal RNA". It matches the Rfam family "Bacterial small subunit ribosomal RNA", at positions 338 to 795 of the family's 1533-position model. The record is from RNAcentral. Lineage: Bacteria; Pseudomonadati; Pseudomonadota; Gammaproteobacteria; Oceanospirillales; Halomonadaceae.